UACGUAGGUGGCGAGCGUUGUCCGGAAUUAUUGGGCGUAAAGCGUGCGUAGGCGGCUUUUUAAGUCUGUCGUGAAAGCCCACAGCUUAACUGUGGAGGGUCGAUGGAAACUGGAGAGCUUGAAUCUAGAAGAGGUAAGUGGAAUUCCAUGUGUAGCGGUAAAAUGCUUAGAUAUAUGGAGGAACACCAGUAGCGAAGGCGGCUUACUGGUCUAGAAUUGACGCUGAGGCACGAAAGCGUGGGUAGCAAACAGG
Molecule: ribosomal RNA, 253 nt
Filed under: uncultured bacterium
Lineage: Bacteria
Description: partial 16S ribosomal RNA
Rfam family: Bacterial small subunit ribosomal RNA
Source: RNAcentral